AGGGAAUCUUCGGCAAUGGACGAAAGUCUGACCGAGCAACGCCGCGUGAGUGAAGAAGGUUUUCGGAUCGUAAAACUCUGUUGUUAGAGAAGAACAAGGAUGAGAAGAGAAUGUUCAUCCCUUGACGGUAUCUAACCAGAAAGCCACGGCUAACUACGUGCCAGCAGCCGCGGUAAUACGUAGGUGGCAAGCGUUGUCCAGAUUUAUUGGGCGUAAAGCGAGCGCAGGCGGUUCUUUAAGUCUGAUGUGAAAGCCCCCGGCUUAACCGGGGAGGGUCAUUGGAAACCGGGGAACUUGAGUGCAGAAGAGGAGAGUGGAAUUCCAUGUGUAGCGGUGGAAUGCGUAGAUAUAUGGAGGAACACCAGUGGCGAAGGCGGCUCUCUGGUCUGUAACUGACGCUGAGGCUCGAAAGCGUGGGGAGCAAAC
This 426-nucleotide ribosomal RNA is filed under the name uncultured bacterium. RNAcentral's name for it is "bacterial SSU rRNA". It matches the Rfam family "Bacterial small subunit ribosomal RNA", at positions 356 to 773 of the family's 1533-position model. The record is from RNAcentral.